Metopolophium dirhodum (rose-grain aphid) is the source of this 4296-nucleotide RNA transcript. It is a transcript of the gene named MYCBP-associated protein-like, with no coding region annotated. The transcript has 4 exons. NCBI's taxonomy places the organism in Eukaryota, Metazoa, Arthropoda, Insecta, Hemiptera, Aphididae. The record is from RefSeq and is a predicted model, not a curated record.
UAAUUAUAAUAUGUGUCUGAGUGUUUAUUAACAUGAAUAUUUUUAUUUUUCAUGUUUGAUAGCUUAGUAUUGAGACGUGUGUACUAUGUUUGUUAUUAUUAAUGAGGUUUUUUAGUAGGCGUGACCGUAGCUGAUUUAAGUUUACUCUUUUGGAUAUAUUAUGCUAGGCCCAUGUCAGCCUUUAUCUAGGGUUAGCCCAAGAUAUUUAAAAUGUAGAGCAUUUGAAAUUGGCCAUAAAUAAAAACGUCACGGCAGGCAGCUAGUCUGAGGGUGAAUGGUAUAAAAAUGUACUCGUUGUGCCACUAUAUACAGACUGUAAAUUUAAUUUAAAAAAAAUAUUUCAUAGAAUUUGGUUGCCUAGAAAUGUUUUUGUUUAAUUUUAUUCAUUUAUUAAAAUGUGAAAUUUAACUUAAAUGUGAUAUUUGUAAAAUAAAUAUGUCUUGUAAUCAAGAUAUUGAAUGGGAGUAUAUACCCGUAGAAACAGCUGAUGAAAUUAUGCUGUGUGGAGAUGUGGCUGAGAGUAAACGUCUAAAAAAUUGGAAUAGAUGGCUUAAAAUAAGAAAACAACAGCAUAAAUACCUUGGUUUAAUGGUAAAUAUUUGACUGUGUUAUAAAAUAGGAAUUUAAAAAAUAAAUUGUACAGGUAUGUCGUAAACCUACGUCAUUGCUAAUGAACGAAUCUGAUAAAUUCAGAUCAAAAGUUGAAUGUAAAUGGUUGAUUGAUGUAGCACUCAAGUUAAAAAUCAAUAAUGAAUAUCAUACAGAUUUUCCUUAUUCUGUCGAUAGAGAAAUAAAAAAAUUUACUAGUGUGUAUACACCAGAUGUAAUACGUACUGAAAAAGGAUUAUUGGGCAUUAGGAAGGAUGCUCGCUUUGAUUUGCAAACACCUAAUAAUGUGUUGAUUUAUAACGAAUUAUAUACUUUAAAAAGUUUAAUACCUUUUAAAAAUCCUAAAAAAUUAGCUAUUAUUGGGGAAAGUAUUCUUAAAAAAGCUAUGAAACACAAACUUGAUUAUAAAGGUACUAUUCCAUCAAUUUAUGUUGAGUCUGCUCAAAAGAAAAAUAAUUAUUGUAAUAUUGCACUAAUUGUCGUUAGAGUAAAUGAUUAUAUAAUAAAAUCAAUUGAUGACAGCACUAAAUGCAUGACGUUUAAGUUAAAAACAAAAUCAAAACCAAUUAAUAUUGUAAAAAUAAAUGAAGAUUCUUGGGAUGAGAUAAUUAUAGAAAACUGUGGUCAAAUAAGUAUUUACUAUAAAUGGAUAAAAGAAGAAUGUACUACUACAAAAUAUGAUUGUAUUUUAAAAGAAAAACCAAAAGAAUGUUUUUUUUUUGACACCAGGACCAAUAUUUUGGGUCCUGGUCAAAUCCAACGUUUAACAGUUUUAUUCAGACCUACACAAACUGGGCCUCACAGAGAAAUGUGGUUUAUACAAUUAAAUAUUCUGGGAAGAUUAGAUCAUAUAGCUAGAAUCAAUGUACCUCUACAAGGCUGUGCUAUUCACAAUGUAGACAACAUGUCAUCUAUAAUAAAACUGCAAAAUACAAUAUUAUCUGAGAGAGUUAAUGGAUUAUAUGCUAAACCAAUCAACAAGGAUCGUGAAAAUAUAUUUUUGGAAAACAAUUCUUCUUUCAUUACAAAAUAUCAUUACCAUGAUGAAAAGAUGAAAUAUCUUUACCACAUAUUACAAACAGAGGACACUAAGGAUAUUGAAGAACUUCUAUACCAUUGUAUGCAACUAAAAGAGUCGCUCAAAGAAAAAUGCUUGGAUUUAAUUAGUCAAACAGCUGUAACAUUGUUAAAAAAGGAAAUUUUUUUUGAACACAGUCAGAUGACUCAACAUGAAUUAAACGCACAUAAAACUAUGUAUAUAACAAUGGAUUGUAUUGAUUUGAUAUUGAGUACUUAUGAACUUGAUCAUUAUGAAGUCUGUCAAGAACUGUGUAGCAAAUUUGUUGAAAAUAAACCGAGAUUAGUGAAAUAUUCAGAUGAUGAAACAUUCACAAUUGAUAACGCUAUGGAACAAAAAACUGAAUAUGCUUCAAUGAGCGAAGAAUGGUUUGAAAUGAUCAAGCCCAUGAUCAAGAAACGGUUAGAAUGGGCUGUGGAAAGAAUAUCAGACUAUGAUAUCCUGUGGGCAGAGUGUAAACAUGAAAACCAUAAUGAGACUGUGAAGGACGAACAUACAAGAGGAAUAGAAUCAUAUGAGCAAAAAGAGUGUAGUCUUUCACUUGUGAGACAAUUUUUUAUAAACAAAUAUUUGUGAGUUAUAGUGAUAUUACAUAUUAUUUACAUAUACAGGUAAUUAUACCAAUAUGCUUAUAUUAUGCCUAUACUAUUUUUUUUGUGGUUUAUCACGAUUAAAAGUCUUUGCAAGUGGGUUAUCCAUCCGUCGAAUAUUUUAUUUAUAUGUCUAUGGGGUCAUCCGUCGCCUUAUAUAAUACUAUAGGUAUAUAUCUAAUAUCUGUAUUGUUUAUUUUGAAUAAUAAUAAUAUAUUUUAUUGACUAUCUAUUGCCCUAAACUACUGAUUUUGGUGGCCGGAGCCAAACAAAAUAAUAAGUAUAAGAAAUCUCUAUGCCUAUAUGGCUAUAUCCCUCUUAAUUUCGCUGGCGGUGCACAUUUUAAGUUUAUCAGCAGUGCUACAAAAUACUGAAUUAGUGCAUCUGUUUUUCCCUAUUCUGGACUAAGCGCCACAUAGUUACAUAUUAUAGACCACCCCUAUAAUAGUUAUGUAUUAAGCACAAUAAUAUAUUGGGCCAUCGUCGCACAUCCAGCACACGGUUAACGACCAAUUGAAGUUCAUUAUCAACUAUCGUGUUGUAAUAUGCCACCUCGAAGUCCGAACAAAUAACUCUCAUUACCUAAUUAAAGCCAUAAAUCAUAAUGAAUCACACUGAGAUGACUAAUCGAAUUCAUUUUAAGAAGUAUAUUGAUGAAGAACAGAUAAUGUUUAUUUACGACACUAUAGUCAUAGGCGGAUAUUGGGGGGGACUUGGGGGGCUUAAGCCCCCCCAGAACGUAGUCAAGCCCCCUCGGAAGGUUCUAGUAUCUCUACUUCAAUUACAACAAACAAUAUUGAUACAAUUGUAGAAAAUAAUCAAAAUAUAAAAAAAAAAAUAUUGUUUUGUAAGAAUUUAUUUUCAACUGUUCCCCUUAAUUACCGCUGAUAAGACCGUUAUAUUAUCCCAUCCUAGGAAUGUGUUUAACACUUUAGAAUCCCUAUACAUACAUUUUUCACAUCCGUCAAAAAAUCAACAUUUAAUUGAGAUUCAAACCAAUCUGGGGAUAAAACAUAGGUCAAUGAUUAGACUCAGUGACACUAGAUGGAACUGCCGCUAUAGAAAUAUAGAGUGUGUUAAAGCAAGUUAUAAAGCAAUCAUUCAAGCUUUAGAAGACGAAAUCGAAAAUGAAGAUGAUAGAGGAGUAAAUGAAGCAAUUGGUAUAUUAAUAUAUUAUUAUAAUAACUAAUAAGUAAUAAUUUAUAAAUUAAUAAAAAGUAAUUAUAGUCCUUUUUUUUUUGUUUUAGGAAUAUUAGCAAAUUUAAAAAGUGGACCAUUUAUAGUUUAUUUAUUUAUCUUACAUAAAGUAUUAAUUCAUAUUAAUACCGUUACCAACAAAUUUCAAGAAAAAACUGCAACCUUAGGGCAAUCUAAAAAUAUUAUUCAAGGUGUGAUGAUGACUUUUAAAAAUUUAAGAACAACAAAAUAUUUUUCUCAGCUUUGGUGUGAAACCUUUGCUAAAGAUCAUGACAUAUCAAUACAAACACCGUCUAAAGUUGAGCCUUGAUUAUACAUAUAUUUAUUUAUAAUUCUUAAUUUUAAGUAAAUAUUUACUUAACUAGGAUGUAAAAGAAAAAGACAAGAGCCAACAAUUUUUUUAAAUGUUGAUGUCACUGCAACCACAAGUGCUGAACAUAGUAUCAAUGAAACUAAUGAAACCACUGAAGGUUAUUUCAAAAAAAAAAUGCUUUCUUUCCUGUAUUUGAUGCUAUCUUGGUAAAUCUGGAAAAAAAGGUUUUCUCCUGAAAGUCUCCAAAUGGCUACAGCUGUUGAUCAAUUUUGUCAACUUAACUUUGAGGAAAGUGUUUUUUUUUUGUAGAUCAUUAUAAAGAUUUGAUGUGUGUAUCUAAAGAUUUACUGAAGUCAGAAAUGGCAGUGGUAAAGAAUUGCAUAUUGCAGUCUACUGACAAAGAAUAUAUAUCUUUAAAUGAUGUAAAAAAGGUUUUAACAAAAAGUGUUUUCCCUAAUUUAUACAAAUUAUUUCAAGUUGCUAUAACAAUACCAAUAAGUUCCUCAACU